This 460-nucleotide ribosomal RNA is filed under the name uncultured bacterium. Its description in RNAcentral is "partial 16S ribosomal RNA". It matches the Rfam family "Bacterial small subunit ribosomal RNA", at positions 338 to 795 of the family's 1533-position model. The record is from RNAcentral.
CCUACGGGUGGCAGCAGUGAGGAAUAUUGGUCAAUGGACGAGAGUCUGAACCAGCCAAGUAGCGUGAAGGAUGACUGCCCUAUGGGUUGUAAACUUCUUUUAUAUGGGAAUAAAAUGUUCCACGUGUGGGAUUUUGUAUGUACCAUAUGAAUAAGGAUCGGCUAACUCCGUUCCAGCAGCCGCGGUAAUACGGAGGAUCCGAGCGUUAUCCGGAUUUAUUGGGUUUAAAGGGAGCGUAGGUGGAUUGUUAAGUCAGUUGUGAAAGUUUGCGGCUCAACCGUAAAAUUGCAGUUGAAACUGGCAGUCUUGAGUACAGUAGAGGUGAGCGGAAUUCGUGGUGUAGCGGUGAAAUGCUUAGAUAUCACGAAGAACUCCGAUUGCGAAGGCAGUUCACUGGACUGCAACUGACACUGAGGCUCGAAAGUGUGGGUAUCAAACAGGAUUAGAUACCCCAGUAGUC